CAACCGCAAAAGAAGCAGAGGGGGCUUAGUGGUGGGGUGACUGCGUACCUUUUGUAUAAUGGGUCAGCGACUUAUAUUCUGUAGCAAGGUUAACCGUAUAGGGGAGCCGGAGGGAAACCGAGUCUUAAUUGGGCGUUAAGUUGCAGGGUAUAGACCCGAAACCCGGUGAUCUAGCCAUGGGCAGGUUGAAGGUUGGGUAACACUAACUGGAGGACCGAACCGACUAAUGUUGAAAAAUUAGCGGAUGACCUGUGGCUGGGGGUGAAAGGCCAAUCAAACCGGGAGAUAGCUGGUUCUCCCCGAAAGCUAUUUAGGUAGCGCCUCGUGAAUUCAUCUCCGGGGGUAGAGCACUGUUUCGGCUAGGGGGCCAUCCCGGCUUACCAACCCGAUGCAAACUGCGAAUACCGGAGAAUGUUAUCACGGGAGACACACGGCGGGUGCUAACGUCCGUCGUGAAGAGGGAAACAACCCAGACCGCCAGCUAAGGUCCCAAAGUCAUGGUUAAGUGGGAAACGAUGUGGGAAGGCCCAGACAGCCAGGAUGUUGGCUUAGAAGCAGCCAUCAUUUAAAGAAAGCGUAAUAGCUCACUGGUCGAGUCGGCCUGCGCGGAAGAUGUAACGGGGCUAAACCAU
Molecule: ribosomal RNA, 632 nt
Filed under: Salmonella enterica subsp. enterica serovar Derby
Lineage: Bacteria; Pseudomonadati; Pseudomonadota; Gammaproteobacteria; Enterobacterales; Enterobacteriaceae
Description: partial 23S ribosomal RNA
Rfam family: Bacterial large subunit ribosomal RNA
Source: RNAcentral